This 39-nucleotide ribosomal RNA is filed under the name Carcinomyces arundinariae. RNAcentral describes it as "partial 26S ribosomal RNA". The record is from RNAcentral. Lineage: Eukaryota; Fungi; Basidiomycota; Tremellomycetes; Tremellales; Carcinomycetaceae.
UCAGACCUCAAAUCAGGUAGGACUACCCGCUGAACUUAA